UGGCUCACUGGUAGAGUACUUGCCUAGCAUGCAUGAGCCCCUGGGUUCAAUCCCCAG
Molecule: transfer RNA, 57 nt
Filed under: Ictidomys tridecemlineatus (thirteen-lined ground squirrel)
Lineage: Eukaryota; Metazoa; Chordata; Mammalia; Rodentia; Sciuridae
Description: Spermophilus tridecemlineatus (thirteen-lined ground squirrel) tRNA
Rfam family: tRNA
About the family: Transfer RNA (tRNA) molecules are approximately 80 nucleotides in length. Their secondary structure includes four short double-helical elements and three loops (D, anti-codon, and T loops).
Source: Rfam by way of RNAcentral